GUGCAGCAGCCGAGAAACCUCCGCAAUACACGAAAGUGUGACGGGGCCAUCCCGAGUGCCGUCCGCUGAGGACGGCUUUUCCUCAGUGUACACAGCUGGGGGAAUAAGGAGAGGGCAAGCCUGGUGUCAGCCGCCGCGGUAAUACCAGCUCUCCGAGUGGUGGGGACGCUUAUUGGGCCUAAAGCAUCCGUAGCCGGCUGGGCAAGUCCUCCGUUAAAUCCAACGAUUCAAUCGUUGGGCUGCGGGGGAUACUGUCCAGCUUGGGGGCGGGAGAGGCCGACGGUAUUCCCGGGGUAGGGGUGAAAAUCCUAUAAUCCCGGGAGGACCACCAGUGGCGAAGGCUGUCGGCUAGAACGCGCCCGACGGUGAGGGGAUGAAAGCUGGGGGGAGCGAACCGGAUUAGAUACCCC
RNAcentral lists this ribosomal RNA (410 nucleotides) under uncultured microorganism. Its description in RNAcentral is "bacterial SSU rRNA". It matches the Rfam family "Archaeal small subunit ribosomal RNA", at positions 330 to 739 of the family's 1478-position model. The record is from RNAcentral.